ACGUAGGGUGCAGGCGUUAAUCGGAAUUACUGGGCGUAAAGCGUGCGCAGGCGGUUUCUUAAGUCAGAUGUGAAAGCCCCGGGCUUAACCUGGGAACUGCGUUUGAAACUGGGAGACUUGAGUGUGGCAGAGGGGGGUGGAAUUCCACGUGUAGCAGUGAAAUGCGUAGAUAUGUGGAGGAACACCAAUGGCGAAGGCAGCCCCCUGGGUCAACACUGACGCUCAUGCACGAAAGCGUGGGGAGCAAACAGGA
Molecule: ribosomal RNA, 253 nt
Filed under: uncultured prokaryote
Description: partial 16S ribosomal RNA
Rfam family: Bacterial small subunit ribosomal RNA
Source: RNAcentral